This 405-nucleotide ribosomal RNA is filed under the name uncultured bacterium. Its description in RNAcentral is "partial 16S ribosomal RNA". It matches the Rfam family "Bacterial small subunit ribosomal RNA", at positions 28 to 526 of the family's 1533-position model. The record is from RNAcentral.
GACGAACGCUGGCGGCGUGCUUAACACAUGCAAGUCGAGCGGAGCGGCGAACGGGUGAGGAACGCGUGAGUAACUGCCCCCCUCCCUGGGAUAACAGUUGGAAACGGCUGCUAAUACCGGAUAGUGGGGGAUGACUCGCGUCCAAUCAGCUUGUUGGAGGGGUAGUGGCCUACCAAGGCGACGACGGGUAGCCGGCCUGAGAGGGCGACCGGCCGCAUGGGGCUGAGAUACGGCCCAGACUGCUACGGGAGGCAGCAGUGGCGAAUAUUUCACACUGGGGUAAACCCUGAUGCAGCAACGCCGCGUGCGGAAUGACGGGCUUCGGGUUGUAAACCGCUUGCAGCCAUGACGCGGUAGUGGCAGAAGAAGCACCGGCUAACUACGUGCCAGCAGCCGCGGUAAUAC